GUGGCUGAACUUUAAAUUAAAAAAAAGUUUGACAGCCAUUUGACAGCCGCUCUAGAAGGGAAAUCGUAAAUUUAGAAACUAGAUGGAUGGUUUUAUUGUUUUAUUUAACCUGUGAUCUGAAUUCAUAUUAAUAUUUCAAUAGGAAUAGCGUGUGUGGCACAUUCAUAAAUAAGAUCGUGUGGCGGGCGAUUUUAUUUUAACCUCGGCGACCGGCGACCGGCGGCCACAAUACAAUUGAUACAAUCCGCGCGUUGUGAGCCUUUCUUAACUUUCCAACAUUGACACUAUAAUAUAAUCCGCAUCUAUGAUCGUUGAAGACAAACCAGAUUCUGACAAUUCCAUCUUCAGCUUGGGACCGAGCCAGCAGAGGGAGCAGCAAACUGUAACAAAUGAAAACUAUAAACUACCAUGAUUUUGAGCAAAUGUAAAUAAAUAUUUUUAAUAAGAGGAAA
This 452-nucleotide long non-coding RNA is filed under the name Leguminivora glycinivorella. RNAcentral describes it as "uncharacterized LOC125228519". Lineage: Eukaryota; Metazoa; Arthropoda; Insecta; Lepidoptera; Tortricidae. The record is from RNAcentral.